AUACGUACGCGCGCGCUCGAGAGUACGUACAACUCAGCUGCUGCCGCUGUGCCGGCGUUAACUCGGUAUAUUGCGUAGCGCCGAUUGUCGCGCGCGCACACACCGCCCGCAACGGUCGCUCGACUUACACGCAACCGCCGCGCCGUCAGCUCGAUACAGUGCUCAAGCAGUGCGCGCGCGUCGCUGAUAUACGUAUACCUACUACCGUACCACGGCGGUCGUUUCUCGCGCUGUCACCGCCGCGGCGCAAACCGACGGUCACCUGCACCGUCCCCGGGUAGCUCGACGACAGCCGACGACCAUCCCGCCGUCCACGGCUCGACGCUAUCGCGGAUCUCUGUCCGCAGCCGCCGAUUCAUAUCUCGCACCCCCGUCCCCCGCCCGCACACCAACCCGCACGAGAGAUCGCGACACGGUAUAGUCCGACCUGUACAUGACCGAUGAGAUCGCGGACGACGAAGACGACGACGACAGGUCCGGUGCGCAACAGAUCGAGAAAAGAAAUCAAAUCACACAACACGGGUGCAAAGUCGUGAAAAAGUAAAAUCAUAUAGAUGACUUGAUGUGCUUAAGCUGGAUUCAAGCAUGCACCGCCAUACACCUGCUGUGGAGUGUGCUGUACAUAAGCGUUGGCGCUGUUCAAAUAGUAGCAGGCAUAUUUUUCCUGUUCACAAUACCUGUUCUCAGAAUAGGAUCAAACAUAUGGACAGGGUCUUGGAACGUGUUCUUUGGUGUAGGAGGAGCAGUUUUCUCGUGUGUAGGUGAUUGGACUACGGCCAAACAACGAGGCCUUUUAUGCCUCACUGUGUCUAUACUGAUCAUGAACAUCGUAAAUUUAAUCAUAUUAGAAAUCGGAGAAUGGAGAUACCUAACACCUGAAUCGGUCAAAGAUAGCAUGUCAAGAGAAGGAUUGGAAACGUUAAUUUUAUAUGCUCGUUACACUACCAGUAUAAGCACAUUAGUAGCCAUAAUCGGCGCAUUUUUCGAUUCGCAGAUAACGUUUUGUUGUAUGCUACGUGUGGAUAAAACACAACAAAAUACAGAGCCAGAUAACAAUUCAGAUGUCGAUUACAUUAUGCCAAGGGUUAAAUCGGAGUGCGUGUUGCGGUCGAAUAGUACCGCCAGGAAAACGUCGGACAACAACUACGGCCGUUCCUGGGUGUUCGAGGCGGACGGCACGGCGGGCCCGGGUGGCUGUCCCCCCACGUACGCGUCCACAGAAUCGCUGAGCGCGCUCGACCACCGUCUACCGGCGACGGCGGCGGUGACGGCAGGCGCGGCCGUGUGCAGCCGGACGGUGACGCUGAAGCGCAGGGCCAAGCCGGUGACACCGGUGGUGAUCGUCGAGAUGGACGGCACAGGCAGCCGGCCCACGCAGCUGAUGACCAGUUUCUCGCGGACACCAUCGCCGGUUGGACUUUCGGAGAGCUCGUCUCAGGACUCGGUGUCCGCGGUCGCCGUGGCCAACGCGCCAAUUUACGAGUGCCUGGAGAAGCUGACCGAACCGUCCGUGUACAGGUCCCGCUUGAACACCGCCCUGUCGGCCAGCAUCCAGGAGGCCAUCGCGUCCGGUGACCGGCCGCCCCGGAGCCUGUCGCCCAGGCCGCCGCCCGCCGCCGAGCCCGUCCAGUACGCGUCACUGAUGGAGGAGUUACAGAAGACCAUCGGAAACAGACUCUCCAAACACGUUGAAUCGCCCGAAGAGAGAUUCGAUGCAGAUUUGGACGACGCACUACAAGACAUACCAAGAUUUAGAAUCUCCAAAUGGCCACAGCAAUGACCGGACGGAUGACAGUAGCGAUAGUGACGCAGCCAGCAUGAAGACCACGAAAACAGUUAUUUUGAAUGCAAAUCGAAGAAAAAGUGUGGAAACAAAUUAACGGUGCUUCGGAGACCGAUUCCCCUUGCUGACCGACUGAUGAAUUGUUUAUUUGGUUAUUUAAUUGAAUUUAUAAUACUAUUAUUAGGUAUAAUUUUCUAUAUUGUAUACAAAUUUUUAUUUUGUGUUAUUGAACCUAUUUAAAACGGUGGUAUACAAGAAAUCCUUCUUAAACUAUAUGUUAAAUGUUAUACCUACCUAUAUCCGAUAUAUUAUUAUAUAAUAAAAAUUACAUAAUAUAUUAUAUUUAUCAUAUCUUUCAAACAUCAUUCCUAUUAAAAAAAAAAAAAAACAACAACAAUUUUAAAUUGAAAAUAAUAUUUUACUAUUAUUUAACAUAAAAAACGAUAUCAUGUUAUUUAUACAAUGUACGAUUAUCGUUAAAAUAUUUUCUCUCUAGGUUAUUAUAAUGUAUAUCUCUAUUAUACAUAUUAUAUACAUGAAUUAUUAUUUAUAAAAUAUCUAUAAAUGUUGUUCAAGUUCGAAAAGUUGUGUUCGCAAAAAAUAUAUAUACAAAAAAGACUAGUAGACUAAAUAGUUUUAUUCUCCGUUAGACUAAACUUGCGAUUUAUCAUUAAUAUUUUAUCUCGUGUUUAUGUAUAGUAUUAUAUAUAUAUUAUUAUGAAUUUGUUAUUUAUUUUUGACUGUGAUUUUGAUGUUAAUCAAUAUGUCCAUAAUAUAUAUAUAGUAUAUAUAUAUUAUAUACAUACUAUGAUUGAUAUACCUAUACAAUAUACAUUAUACAUAUUGUUAGUAAAUAGAUAUUUAUAAAAAAUAAUUUUUAAAUGUUCAAAAUAUUUAUACAUAGAUAACAUGUGGAAUGUAUAAAUUCAAUUUAUUAUAAAUAUGUAGAACAAACAAUAGCUAAUCAUAAAAAUAUAUUAUAUUAUCUAUUAUAA
Molecule: RNA transcript, 2778 nt
Organism: Acyrthosiphon pisum (pea aphid)
Lineage: Eukaryota; Metazoa; Arthropoda; Insecta; Hemiptera; Aphididae
Exons: 7
Source: RefSeq, a predicted model, not a curated record